RNAcentral lists this ribosomal RNA (491 nucleotides) under uncultured bacterium. Its description in RNAcentral is "partial 16S ribosomal RNA". It matches the Rfam family "Bacterial small subunit ribosomal RNA", at positions 29 to 506 of the family's 1533-position model. The record is from RNAcentral.
AGUGAACGCUGGCGGUAGGCCUAACACAUGCAAGUCGAACGGCAGCACAGUAAGAGCUUGCUCUUACGGGUGGCGAGUGGCGGACGGGUGAGGAAUACAUCGGAAUCUACUUUUUCGUGGGGGAUAACGUAGGGAAACUUACGCUAAUACCGCAUACGACCUACGGGUGAAAGCAGGGGAUCUUCGGACCUUGCGCGAUUGAAUGAGCCGAUGUCGGAUUAGCUAGUUGGCGGGGUAAAGGCCCACCAAGGCGACGAUCCGUAGCUGGUCUGAGAGGAUGAUCAGCCAACCUGGAAAUGAGAAACGGUCCAAACUCCUACGGGGAGCAGCAGGGGGGAAUAUUGGACAAUGGGCGGAAGCCUGAUCCAGCCAUACCGCGGGGGUGAAGAAGGCCUUCGGGUUGUAAAGCCCUUUUGUUGGGAAAGAAAAGCAGCAGGUUAAUACCCCGCUGUUCUGACGGUACCCAAAGAAUAAACACCGGCUAACUUCGU